Amaranthus tricolor (Joseph's coat) is the source of this 690-nucleotide long non-coding RNA. RefSeq lists it as uncharacterized. NCBI's taxonomy places the organism in Eukaryota, Viridiplantae, Streptophyta, Magnoliopsida, Caryophyllales, Amaranthaceae. The transcript has 3 exons. The record is from RefSeq and is a predicted model, not a curated record.
CAUGAAAACCCUAAAUGUUCAAAGGGUAGCCGUCACUCCCAUCCCUCUUUUCUCUCUCUUCCUCACGCCCCCCUCCCCUCACCAGAAACUAGCGGCCAGCAGCAGCCCAUUGCCACCACGGCACCACCAGAAGCAGCCCCGUUCACCCUACUCUAGCAGCAGGCGUCUGUAGGCCCUCCUAAGAGCAGCUCUGCUGCGUUUUUCCUCCUCCAGCCGUGGAGGUUGCCCACAGGACCACCAAUUGUGGCCCACCACCACACACGUGAGCCACCACCAUAAGGACCAUCACUUCUUAGUCUCACUCUUUGUGCUCAUUUCAUAAGAGGAAAGUAGAACUUUAAUUGGGUGAUUUUUGUGACUUUUAGUCGUGCAGUGACGCUUACAGCAGGGACAUCAUAGAUAGACAUUACAGGUGAUGGAGCUUCUAUGCAUUCCGUACGGGGGGAAUGAGUGAGAACCUUGAAGCGUGCAAUGUUAUAUUUGUUUUUGACGCUACAUGUAGUUUCUUUGCAUUUAAAUUUGUUAGCUGCGUAGUUUAUAAUUUGUAUGGCUUUAAAGAGUCAAGUCGGUUUAAAAUGCAAGCGUUGACACCGGAACCACGAUCCAUGCUUGGCAUGUUGAUUUGAGAAGCCGGCGAUAAAUCAUUCCGCCGUGAUAUAGUUUUGAUAGGCCGUUGAUGCCUUUACUUUA